CCUACGGGAGGCAGCAGUGGGGAAUAUUGCGCAAUGGGCGAAAGCCUGACGCAGCGACGCCGCGUGAGGGAUGAAGGUCUUCGGAUCGUAAACCUCUGUCAGCAGGGAAGAACGGUCACUGUGCUAAUCAGCAGUGAAUUGACGGUACCUGCAAAGGAAGCACCGGCUAACUCCGUGCCAGCAGCCGCGGUAAUACGGAGGGUGCGAGCGUUAAUCGGAAUUACUGGGCGUAAAGCGCUCGUAGGCGGUAUGUCAAGUCAAGGGUGAAAUCCCCGCGCUCAACGUGGGAACUGUCUUUGAAGCUGGCAAACUGGAGUGUGUGAGAGGAUAGUGGAAUUCCAGGUGUAGGAGUGAAAUCCGUAGAUAUCUGGAGGAACAUCAGUGGCGAAGGCGACUAUCUGGAACAUAACUGACGCUGAGGAGCGAAAGCGUGGGUAGCAAACAGGAUUAGAUACCCCGGUAGUC
RNAcentral lists this ribosomal RNA (465 nucleotides) under uncultured bacterium. RNAcentral describes it as "partial 16S ribosomal RNA". It matches the Rfam family "Bacterial small subunit ribosomal RNA", at positions 338 to 795 of the family's 1533-position model. The record is from RNAcentral.